UACGGGGGGUGCGAGCGUUAAUCGGAAUAACUGGGCGUAAAGGGCACUCAGUCGGACUUUUAAGUGAGGUGUGAAAUCCCCGGGCUUAACCUGGGAAUUGCAUUUCAUACUGGGAGUCUAGAGUGCUUUAGAGGGGUGUAGAAUUCCACGUGUAGCGGUGAAAUGCGUAGAGAUGUGGAGGAAUACCGAAGGCGAAGGCUGCCCCUUGGGAAUGUACUGACGCUCAUUUGCGAAAGCGUGGGGAGCAAACAGG
Molecule: ribosomal RNA, 253 nt
Filed under: uncultured bacterium
Lineage: Bacteria
Description: partial 16S ribosomal RNA
Rfam family: Bacterial small subunit ribosomal RNA
Source: RNAcentral